AGAGUUUGAUCCUGGCUCAGGAUGAACGCUGGCGGUCUGCUUAACACAUGCAAGUCGAACGAAUCCCUUCGGGGAUUAGUGGCGGACGGGUGAGUAACGCGUGAGAAUCUACCAAAAGGACUGGGACAACCACUGGAAACGGUGGCUAAUACCGGAUGAGCCGCAACGUAAAAGAGGAAACUCGCCUUUUGAAGAGCUCGCGUCUGAUUAGCUAGUUGGUGAGGUAAAGGCUCACCAAGGCGGCGAUCAGUAGCUGGUCUGAGAGGAUGAUCAGCCACACUGGGACUGAGACACGGCCCAGACUCCUACGGGAGGCAGCAGUGGGGAAUUUUCCGCAAUGGGCGAAAGCCUGACGGAGCAAGACCGCGUGAGGGAGGAAGGCUCUUGGGUUGUAAACCUCUUUUGUCAGGGAAGAACACAAUGACGGUACCUGAAGAAUCAGCAUCGGCUAACUCCGUGCCAGCAGCCGCGGUAAUACGGGGGAUGCAAGCGUUAUCCGGAAUUAUUGGGCGUAAAGCGUCCGCAGGUGGCUAAUCAAGUCUGCUGUCAAAGGUUGGGGCUUAACCCCAAAAAGGCAGUGGAAACUGAGAAGCUAGAGUGCAGUAGGGGUAGAGGGAAUUCCCGGUGUAGCGGUGAAAUGCGCAGAUAUCAGGAGGAACACCGAUGGCGAAGGCAGGUCUCUGGGCUGUAACUGACGCUGAGGAGCGAAAGCAUGGGGAGCGAACAGGAUUAGAUACCCCCGUAGUCC
RNAcentral lists this ribosomal RNA (748 nucleotides) under uncultured cyanobacterium. RNAcentral's name for it is "bacterial SSU rRNA". It matches the Rfam family "Bacterial small subunit ribosomal RNA", at positions 8 to 796 of the family's 1533-position model. The record is from RNAcentral. Lineage: Bacteria; Bacillati; Cyanobacteriota.